AUACGUAGGGGGCGAGCGUUGUCCGGAAUUACUGGGCGUAAAGGGUACGUAGGCGGCUAGGUAAGUCAGAUGUGAAAGGCAUGGGCUUAACCCAUGUAAGCAUUUGAAACUGCUUAGCUUGAGUCGAGGAGAGGAAAGCGGAAUUCCUGGUGUAGCGGUGAAAUGCGUAGAUAUCAGGAGGAACACCAGUGGCGAAGGCGGCUUUCUGGCCUUGGACUGACGCUGAGGUACGAAAGCGUGGGGAGCAAACAGGAGUAGAUACCCUGGUAGUCCACGCCGUAAACGAUGAGUGCUAGGUGUCGGGGAUUAAUCUUCGGUGCCGGAGUUAACACAUUAAGCACUCCGCCUGGGGAGUACGUGCGCAAGCAUGAA
This 372-nucleotide ribosomal RNA is filed under the name uncultured bacterium. RNAcentral describes it as "bacterial SSU rRNA". It matches the Rfam family "Bacterial small subunit ribosomal RNA", at positions 523 to 898 of the family's 1533-position model. The record is from RNAcentral.